Molecule: transfer RNA, 74 nt
Filed under: Terriglobia bacterium
Lineage: Bacteria; Pseudomonadati; Acidobacteriota; Terriglobia
Also listed under: 4 other names
Description: tRNA-Ala
Rfam family: tRNA
About the family: Transfer RNA (tRNA) molecules are approximately 80 nucleotides in length.
Source: RNAcentral
GGGCGGUUCGUAUAACGGGAUUACUCACGGCCUGCAACCGUGAAAUGCGAGUUCAAUUCUCGCACCGUCCACCA